Molecule: ribosomal RNA, 441 nt
Filed under: uncultured bacterium
Lineage: Bacteria
Description: partial 16S ribosomal RNA
Rfam family: Bacterial small subunit ribosomal RNA
Source: RNAcentral
UGGGGAAUAUUGGACAAUGGGGGCAACCCUGAUCCAGCAAUGCCGCGUGUGUGAAGAAGGUCUUCGGAUUGUAAAGCACUUUCGACGGGGACGAUGAUGACGGUACCCGUAGAAGAAGCCCCGGCUAACUUCGUGCCAGCAGCCGCGGUAAUACGAAGGGGGCUAGCGUUGCUCGGAAUGACUGGGCGUAAAGGGCGUGUAGGCGGUUUACACAGUCAGAUGUGAAAUCCCCGGGCUUAACCUGGGAGCUGCAUUUGAUACGUGUAGACUAGAGUGUGAGAGAGGGUUGUGGAAUUCCCAGUGUAGAGGUGAAAUUCGUAGAUAUUGGGAAGAACACCGGUGGCGAAGGCGGCAACCUGGCUCAUGACUGACGCUGAGGCGCGAAAGCGUGGGGAGCAAACAGGAUUAGAUACCCUGGUAGUCCACGCUGUAAACGAUGUG